RNAcentral lists this ribosomal RNA (253 nucleotides) under uncultured bacterium. Its description in RNAcentral is "partial 16S ribosomal RNA". It matches the Rfam family "Bacterial small subunit ribosomal RNA", at positions 524 to 776 of the family's 1533-position model. The record is from RNAcentral.
UACGUAGGGGGCAAGCGUUAUCCGGAUUUACUGGGUGUAAAGGGAGCGUAGACGGCUUUGCAAGCCAGAUGUGAAAGCCCGGGGCUCAACCUCGGGACUGCAUUUGGAACUGUAUGGCUGGAGUGUCGGAGAGGCAGGCGGAAUUCCUAGUGUAGCGGUGAAAUGCGUAGAUAUUAGGAGGAACACCAGUGGCGAAGGCGGCCUGCUGGACGAUGAUUGACGUUGAGGCUCGAAAGCGUGGGGAGCAAACAGG